Molecule: ribosomal RNA, 253 nt
Filed under: uncultured bacterium
Lineage: Bacteria
Description: partial 16S ribosomal RNA
Rfam family: Bacterial small subunit ribosomal RNA
Source: RNAcentral
UACGGAGGGGGCUAGCGUUGUUCGGAAUUACUGGGCGUAAAGCGCGCGUAGGCGGACCUGCAAGUCGGGGGUGAAAGCCCGAGGCUCAACCUCGGAACUGCCUUCGAUACUGCGGGUCUCGAGUCCGGGAGAGGUGAGUGGAAUUCCUAGUGUAGAGGUGAAAUUCGUAGAUAUUAGGAAGAACACCGGUGGCGAAGGCGGCAUCCUGGACCAACACUGACGCUGAGGAGCGAAAGCCAGGGGAGCAAACGGG